UUUUUUUUUUUUUUUUUUUUUUUUUUUUCAA
RNAcentral lists this non-coding RNA (31 nucleotides) under Prorocentrum micans. Lineage: Eukaryota; Dinophyceae; Prorocentrales; Prorocentraceae. The record is from RNAcentral.